Non-coding RNA from Acanthosepion pharaonis, 99 nucleotides. Lineage: Eukaryota; Metazoa; Mollusca; Cephalopoda; Sepiida; Sepiidae. The record is from the annotation of a GenBank genome assembly.
UUGAAACACCGGUUUUCCGUACGAUCACCGAAGUUAAGCAACGUCGAGUCUGGCGAGUACCUAGAUAGUUAACUGCUUGAGAAUAACAGGUGCUGUAAG